AACGAACGCUGGCGGCAUGCCUAACACAUGCAAGUCGAACGAAGGCUUCGGCCUUAGUGGCGCACGGGUGCGUAACGCGUGGGAAUCUGCCCUUUGCUUCGGAAUAACAGUUAGAAAUGACUGCUAAUACCGGAUGAUGUCGCAAGACCAAAGAUUUAUCGGCAAAGGAUGAGCCCGCGUAGGAUUAGCUAGUUGGUGGGGUAAAGGCCUACCAAGGCGACGAUCCUUAGCUGGUCUGAGAGGAUGAUCAGCCACACUGGGACUGAGACACGGCCCAGACUCCUACGGGAGGCAGCAGUGGGGAAUAUUGGACAAUGGGCGAAAGCCUGAUCCAGCAAUGCCGCGUGAGUGAUGAAGGCCUUAGGGUUGUAAAGCUCUUUUACCCGGGAUGAUAAUGACAGUACCGGGAGAAUAAGCGCCGGCUAACCCCGUG
Molecule: ribosomal RNA, 433 nt
Filed under: uncultured bacterium
Lineage: Bacteria
Description: partial 16S ribosomal RNA
Rfam family: Bacterial small subunit ribosomal RNA
Source: RNAcentral